This 670-nucleotide unclassified non-coding RNA is filed under the name uncultured Prochlorococcus sp. RNAcentral describes it as "partial may contain 16S ribosomal RNA, 16S-23S ribosomal RNA intergenic spacer, and 23S ribosomal RNA". The stretch from base 1 to 97 matches the Rfam family "Bacterial small subunit ribosomal RNA", at positions 1437 to 1533 of the family's 1533-position model. Lineage: Bacteria; Bacillati; Cyanobacteriota; Cyanophyceae; Synechococcales; Prochlorococcaceae. The record is from RNAcentral.
ACCCUUGUGGAGGAGGACGCCGAAGGUGGGGCUAAUGACUGGGGUGAAGUCGUAACAAGGUAGCCGUACCGGAAGGUGCGGCUGGAUCACCUCCUAACAGGGAGACAACAAAAUGUUUAAUAUUAUUAUUUUGUCACCUUAGGUCGAUCGGUAUCUCACGUUCUUAAUUAAGAAUUUCAUUUCCUAAGUUUUUCUAGGUCACACCCAUUAUUUUUCCUGGGCCAUUAGCUCAGGUGGUUAGAGCGCACCCCUGAUAAGGGUGAGGUCCCUGGUUCAAGUCCAGGAUGGCCCAUAUCUCUAUGUUGGGGGUAUAGCUCAGUUGGUAGAGCGCCUGCUUUGCAAGCAGGAUGUCAGCGGUUCGAGUCCGCUUACCUCCACUGAUUACCACCUCUUCCAUAAUCUGUAGAAAGGAAAUUUUUUGAGUUGUGAUCAAAUUCUGAACGAAUCUAGCUUCCUAAUGAAAGUAUUAAGAUGCUGGACUCAUUGAAUUAAUUUCAUUGUUUUCAGAGAACCUUGACAACUGCAUAGAUUUUUUUUAAAGACAAUAAGCAUCUUUAAUGAUGCAGAUUUAUUAUUUGUGCGAAUGCAUUAAUAACAAUUCUAUUAAGCUGAUGCUUCAAUUUUGAAGUUAUUGGUCAAGCUACAAAGGGCUCACGGAGGAUACCUAGGC